Molecule: ribosomal RNA, 252 nt
Filed under: uncultured bacterium
Lineage: Bacteria
Description: partial 16S ribosomal RNA
Rfam family: Bacterial small subunit ribosomal RNA
Source: RNAcentral
UACGUAAGGUCCGAGCGUUGUCCGGAAUCAUUGGGCGUAAAGGGUACGUAGGCGGAUAAGCAAGUUAGAAGUGAAAUCCUAUAGCUCAACUAUAGUAAGCUUUUAAAACUGCUCAUCUUGAGGUAUGGAAGGGAAAGUGGAAUUCCUAGUGUAGCGGUGAAAUGCGCAGAUAUUAGGAGGAAUACCAGUGGCGAAGGCGACUUGCUGGAAUCUAACUGACGCUGAGGUACGAAAGCGUGGGGAGCAAACAGG